Long non-coding RNA from Hemicordylus capensis (graceful crag lizard), 753 nucleotides. RefSeq lists it as uncharacterized. NCBI's taxonomy places the organism in Eukaryota, Metazoa, Chordata, Lepidosauria, Squamata, Cordylidae. The record is from RefSeq and is a predicted model, not a curated record. The transcript is spliced from 3 exons.
CGUGCACGCAAGCUGAGGAGGCCAGUCUGCAUAGGCCGAGGAGGUCCGCCUGCGCCUGCCAUCGACACUGCCGGGGGGUGGCCUGCUCUGCUCUGCUCACCUCCCCCAGCAGUGAAGAGUGGGAAAUAGUGGUGUAACUCUUGGGAGGGUAUUUGAAGGCUAAACACACAGAGCACUAGCAUGAUCAGAAUUCCCCAUUCAUUUCAGUGGAGAAAGCAAUUCCAUUUGCACAUGCCUAUGGAAGCAUCAAGCUGCCUUCUCCAUUAAAUUGAGUAGGAAAGAAGCCCUUACAGAUUAAUGAAAUUAUACAUCAGGGAAAAUAAUAAGGGUCAAAAAACAAAAUUAUCAAAUAUCAUAAGGUACUAGCACAGAACAGUAAAACAAAGCUGCAGUAUGUACAGCUGCAAUUCAUGGAAGAAAUCAGCCAAGCAUCUGGAAAGUGUGGAGACGGAGGCAGUAAGAUCAAAGCAAUUUGGCAUUUUCUGUAACACAAGAAGACCAGGCAUCAACCACUGAACACCACAGCCCAUCACAAGCUCUUUACAUAUCGCCAAUUAAAAUUCAUUAUUCAGUACAAAAUCUAAGCCAGAUAUCUGCCAUUUAAAAUGAGACAACAUAAUGUCAGCAAAAAGGAAUAAAAAGGUACUAAAGUAAAGAGAGUGUUCUAUUGAAAUUCACACAAUUGUGUGUGUGUUUUUUUUUUACUGUGUUUAAAUUAUGUAUUAGACUUCAACUAGGAGAAAUUAAAAAGCA